This 879-nucleotide ribosomal RNA is filed under the name Pseudoalteromonas sp. AW25M26. RNAcentral describes it as "bacterial SSU rRNA". It matches the Rfam family "Bacterial small subunit ribosomal RNA", at positions 567 to 1446 of the family's 1533-position model. Lineage: Bacteria; Pseudomonadati; Pseudomonadota; Gammaproteobacteria; Alteromonadales; Pseudoalteromonadaceae. The record is from RNAcentral.
GUACGCAGGCGGUUUGUUAAGCGAGAUGUGAAAGCCCCGGGCUCAACCUGGGAACUGCAUUUCGAACUGGCAAACUAGAGUGUGAUAGAGGGUGGUAGAAUUUCAGGUGUAGCGGUGAAAUGCGUAGAGAUCUGAAGGAAUACCGAUGGCGAAGGCAGCCACCUGGGUCAACACUGACGCUCAUGUACGAAAGCGUGGGGAGCAAACGGGAUUAGAUACCCCGGUAGUCCACGCCGUAAACGAUGUCUACUAGAAGCUCGGAGCCUCGGUUCUGUUUUUCAAAGCUAACGCAUUAAGUAGACCGCCUGGGGAGUACGGCCGCAAGGUUAAAACUCAAAUGAAUUGACGGGGGCCCGCACAAGCGGUGGAGCAUGUGGUUUAAUUCGAUGCAACGCGAAGAACCUUACCUACACUUGACAUACAGAGAACUUACCAGAGAUGGUUUGGUGCCUUCGGGAACUCUGAUACAGGUGCUGCAUGGCUGUCGUCAGCUCGUGUUGUGAGAUGUUGGGUUAAGUCCCGCAACGAGCGCAACCCCUAUCCUUAGUUGCUAGCAGGUAAUGCUGAGAACUCUAAGGAGACUGCCGGUGAUAAACCGGAGGAAGGUGGGGACGACGUCAAGUCAUCAUGGCCCUUACGUGUAGGGCUACACACGUGCUACAAUGGCGCAUACAGAGUGCUGCGAACCUGCGAAGGUAAGCGAAUCACUUAAAGUGCGUCGUAGUCCGGAUUGGAGUCUGCAACUCGACUCCNUGAAGUCGGAAUCGCUAGUAAUCGCGUAUCAGAAUGACGCGGUGAAUACGUUCCCGGGCCUUGUACACACCGCCCGUCACACCAUGGGAGUGGGUUGCUCCAGAAGUAGAUAGUCUAACCCUCGGG